GACGAACGCUGGCGGCAUGCCUAACACAUGCAAGUCGAACGAAACCUUCGGGUCUAGUGGCGCACGUGUGCGUAACGCGUGGUAACCUUCCCUUGGGUUCGGAAUAACUCCCCGAAAGGGGUGCUAAUACCGGAUAAGGUCUUCGGACCAAAGAUUUAUCGCCUGUGGGUGGGCGGGCGUUAGAUUAGCUAGUUGGUAGGGUAAAAGCCUACCAAGGCGACGAUCCAUAGCUGGUUUGAGAGGAUGGUCAGACACACUGGGACUGAGACACGGCACAGACUCGUACGGGAGGCAGCAGUGGGGAAUAUUGGAGAAUGGGCGAAAGCCUGAGCCAGCAAUGCCGCGUGAGUGAUGAAGGCGUGAGGGUUGUAAAGCUCUUUUACCCGGGAUGAUAAUGACAGUACCGGGAGAAUAAGCCCCGGCUAACUCCGUG
RNAcentral lists this ribosomal RNA (433 nucleotides) under uncultured bacterium. Its description in RNAcentral is "partial 16S ribosomal RNA". It matches the Rfam family "Bacterial small subunit ribosomal RNA", at positions 28 to 507 of the family's 1533-position model. The record is from RNAcentral.